CUCAGCUGUCCCCGCACCUCUCCAGACCGCCCACGUCCCAGCUGCCCCCUGGCAUCUCCGGAUCACCCACGUCCCGCCAUCCACCGCGCGUCCCCGGACCGCCCACCUCCCAGCAGCCCCGCGCCUCCCGGACCGCCCACUUCCCGGCAGUCCCCGCGCAUCUCUGUGGCAGCUGCCCAGUGCUUCUCGCCCCGCCGCGCCCGCCCACCCAACGGCGCUGUGUCCAGGAACCCACUUGAAGAACCUGUGGAGCUUCAAGAUAGUUUAGACUUGGUAUGCCAAGGGACCGCCGGAAGAGGAAAGAACCAAUCCAUCCAUCUCUUGUCCAGGCCUGUCGCACCCAGUGCAGGUAGCGGUCGGUGA
RNAcentral lists this long non-coding RNA (363 nucleotides) under Pongo abelii (Sumatran orangutan). RNAcentral describes it as "lncRNA (ENSPPYG00000040635.1)". Lineage: Eukaryota; Metazoa; Chordata; Mammalia; Primates; Hominidae. The record is from RNAcentral.